UGUCUGUCCUUCAGCUCCUAUAAUUUUAAUUGGAGUGGGCUACGGCUUAAUUAACAUGUAUUGAUUGUAGUCCUGAGUGCAUCUAUAGGUGGGUGGACUGUGUUGGGAGAAAUCCUCCUCGGAGAUGAAGAUUUGCUGAUAACAUUCUGAAUAAUUGUCUUGUGAAGAGACAGAAGUCUUUGCUGUUUUCUCUGCAGAAAGCUUUAAACAAAAGGUGCACGGAGAAGACAGAAAAUUGGAGGAGAGUUGGAGCAAAUAAAGAAGCAGAUGCAACUGGAAACUUUUUGGGGGAUAAGAAGCAUGAGGGAACUGCUGAAAUGUGCUCCCUCCUGCCCUGCAGUGUUGAUCCCUGGCACUGUGAGGAUUAGCAAGUGCCCAAAAGCAUCAGGAGCUGACUUUGCUCUGCCAUGAGACCCCUCCUCACAGGGGAAGCUGGCAGCACCCUGUGGACCAGACAGUUUUAUAACAUCAAGAAGAAUGGAAAAGCUGCAAGGCAUGCACGCUCAAGACGCUGCGCUCCUGGAAAGUUCUGGAUGGGCUCCAGGCAAUGUUUGGUGGCAAAGAAAGAUGAAGGACUUGGAAAGAAGAGGAAAUAAUCAGCCAAGCCCUCAUCCUGCAAUAUUCCUGUUUCUGUGAGCUGGGAAUGCCACUGGAGCAUGGGAAGGACAGAAAAAAUGUGUUCCUGCAAGGUCACGUGUCUGAGGGUGGUUACAAGGACAAUGUUCCAGUUUUAGACUACCACAGCUCUCCUGGCUGGCCCGGUGCAAGGUGGCCACGGGCCUCCCACAGCUCUGCUCUAGCUCAGCCUUCUCAAGGCAUCAGUAACAGCACAGCAGCUUUGCCUGCUGCUCCAGCUUCUCCCAGCUGCCUGUGGGAUUCCUGAGGAGCAAAGGCCACCCUUCCCACCUCUUUUGUAGAGCUGUGAGUACCUGUGUGUGCUGGUCCAACAGCAAACAUCUGCAGUGCAUCCUGCAUGGCAGGAGGAUGGAUGGGCUGUCUGGUCCCUUGCCAGGCACGCAGGAAAGAUGAGUUACUCAGUGUGCUGCCUGCAUUUGAUAUGUGGCAGACUCAGCAGAAGGGAAGACUGAUGCCCUCCAUCCAUCCUGGACCAACCUCUGGGUGUGAGGAGUGUGCUGGAGGGACUGAUGGUGCUUCUCAGCUUGUCAAGGGAUGGAGAAACUUAAGGAAAAAGGAGGGGAGGAAAAAGUCAAGGCUGGACAGAAAAGGCAAAAUGAGCUGUUGGUGUGAGGAGACAGAGGCUCACCAGGACCUGCCUUGUGUCCCAUCCCAGUGGUGUCUUGGACUCUCUGCCUUUUCCACCUCCAUCCAGACCUGCUGAGCAGCUUCCUGCGGAUUCUGAGUGGACAGAAACAGCCUCUGUUAGCCAAGCAUGGAAUUCAGAUUGUUAUUUUUACUGUGAGAAUAACUUCAAAACUUCAAUCCAAUACAGAAAGGCAGAGAGGGAAAGGUUUAAUUGUCCCGACUCUGCUGCAGGCUGAUAAGCUCCCAUUGAUUUUCUGUAGCCAAGUCUCCAGAGUGAACGUGGGUGAUGUUCGUGCAGGUCUGAAGGAGCUUGUGGCAUUUUGAAAAUGCCCAGAUCCACAGUGGAGCAGCUGGUGGAGGAGAUCCUUGUAUCCCACUCGCCCAUCCCUGGCAAGCUCCUUCCCUGGGAUUGCAGCCACCCUCACCUGGCAGGCACAGAGAGGCAGGAGCAAAGGAAUUCUCCGUGGCCAGAGUGCCCUUGCUAGAGCAAUACUUGGACUGGGUGGUGCUCCCUGAGAGAUCUCUGCCUUUACCUCCUUUCCAUGACUUAUGAUCCUCCUCCUAUCAUCCCCCUGCUCUACACGAAUUCUUGGGCUUGAAGCUGCAGAAAUGCUGAUUUCUGAGCAGCUGUAACCCUUCCAAGGAGGACAGGACCAUCUCACCUGGCUGAAAGCGUCAGACCAGCAGAAAUCCCACGUUUUCAGGGGGUUUUACACAUCUCAGGAGCCUGCACAGAGCUCAUUCUUUUCUGGAAAAUCAGCAGAGCACAGGUUCUGGAGGUGGAGCGUCGCUGCAUAUUUUACCCAUAAACCCAAAUGGUUUAAAAUAGACAAGGCAUUCCUUUUUAAAGGAAUAAAGGAGUAGAAACCUUUUGGGUCUUUUAUGAAGCAGCCAUCAGGAAGAAAGCUUUUAAUCUUGGUGAUUUAACAGAGCUGGGGAAUUAGCUUUUAACCAGCCACUCCCUGCCUACUCCAUUUUUUAGGGAAAAAAGCAGCAAGGCGAAGAGCCAAAGCUGAGAUGGGACUGGGAGCUGAAUGAACUGCUGCAAUCCCUGCUCCAGCUGUCUUCACAAGGUGGUGGGGAUGGAAAAUGGUGGUGGGGAUGUGAGAACAGGGAUGAACAGGAGCUCUCCCUGCUCUCACAUCAUCUGUGCUCCAAAAUUUUGUCACAGUUGUGUCCACACAAAAAAACAGGGCAGGGAUGGGAGAUGUACAGCCCGCAGAUCCUGCUGAUGGGACGGGCUGUGACACCUGGAAGUGCCACUGGGAAAGGCUCAAGAGGGCAGAGGGGCAAUGCAAAGCUCAUUUAGCCAUGAAAGUUGUGGGUGAGGAACCUCUCCCAGUCAGGAAAACCCUGGAGAAGGAAUGUCCCAGGAAGCUUUUCCUGCCAUGGUGGGACCUGAUUCCCUGAUCAUCUGUGGGCAGGAUCUUCUCAAAGACAGACCCCUAGCUCCACCAAGGAACUUGGAUUUGGGUACAGUUUGCCUGGUGCUGCUGGCACUUUGAUUCCAAAGGGAAUUUAACCAGUUUAUCCUCAGGAGCGUGUGGGGUUUUAAUUAACACAGAGGGAAAAAAAAGAGUGAGAACACAACAUCAGCUGGGCUCCUGCUAUGUCUGACACCUUCAUCUUCUCCUCCUGGGGAAGCUCUUGGCCAGGCUGCCUAGGGAAUGUGUUUAAUGUUUCCUUCUCAGGAUGGGCAGGGACAAGUGACAAUGAGCACAGGGAGCCACCCCUGAGGGGACAGAGCUGCUGGGACACCCACACUGACAGAAAACCCCUUAUUCUGGGUAAAAACGGGAUCCAAGGAGAUACCUAUUCUUCAUUUAGCUGAGCCACUUCCACCCUCUUUCCAGGAAGAUCCUGUCCCUUGGAGCUCCCUUUGUUUUGCAGGGACACUCACAGGAACAGCCACUCACAGCCUUUGCCCCAGAUUCAGAGGAUCAGAACCAUGGAAUGGUUUGGCUUGGAAGGAACAUAAAAAAUCAUCUCGUUCCAACCCCCUGAAAGGGCAGGGACAUCCCCAAGAUUGUUCAUCCAGCCUGGCUUUGAGCAUUUCCAGGGGUGAGGCACCCACAGUUUCUCUGUUCCACCUGUUAGGGGGAUUUGCUGUGGUCUCUGCAGAGAUUUCCUUUAAAAGAAAACAGAAGGAAAAGCCAACAGCAGAGGGGGAUCCCACCUGCCUGUCCUCCUCCUUAGGAAAGGAGAAAAGAAGUAAAUUACUGAGAUUUAGGUUUCCUCUCUGGUGAUCCACAGCCUCCUGCCUCGGCCAGUACCCCCAGCUCUUAUCUCUUAUCUCAUACCUGCUCUUUCCAUCUCGCAGAGUUUGGAAAUUGGGCUCCAGCUGGUUCUUUCUGAUGCAGAGAUAGUGUAUCACAGGCCAGGCAGGCAGGGCUCUGUAAUUAAUGGUAAUUAAUCCCUUAAUCCCGCGGAGGUGGGAGGGACUGGCUGCCCACUGAGUGCACGGGGGUGGCAGAUCCAGAGCAGGAGCACUGCCCGUCCCACACGGCGCCAGAGAGGAUUUCUCUCUCUGAUGAGCAAUAUUUCUAAUUUCUCUACUUCAGUAAUUAGGUAUUAGCAUGAGAGUUUCGUUCCCCCCACAGCUGGUUGUGGUAAUCUGGUGAAACCACUUUUGCUACCAAAAAAAAAGGAAAUUUAUUUUUUUUUUUCCUUCUGCCUUUCCUCCUGGCAUCAACAUUUUGAUUUAGAGGUGCCAAAAAGCACCGUUUCACUUGGGCAAUUUACCACGUUUAACCUGGAACGUUCCUCGGUGCUUUCAUCCAGUCAAUCAAAACUGUUCAUCUCCCAGCUUUGCAGCAUAAAAAUACCCCUUUCCCUUUUCUUUUGGGAAAAAAAUAAAAUUGUGCAUGUCAGUUCUUCUAUGCCAACAGUGAGCAAGAGCAGAAAACAUCCAGAUUGUGUAAUUCCCUUGGAAAUGGCAUUUGAAUGGAGAAAAAUUCUCUCCUUAGAAUGUUAGAUCUAAUGAAAAUUUUCAUAAAAUAGAUAUAUAUUUAUCUUUUUAUAUAUUUGACUAUAUAUAUGCAAAUAUAAAAAAAUAUAUAUUUAAAUAUGUGUUUAUAUAUAUGACUAACUAUAUAUAUCAAUAGAUCAAAUAGAUAUAUUUAAUAUAAAAAUGUAUAAAAUAUUUAUAGAAUUCUAUAAAUAUAUAUUUAUAUAAU
Molecule: long non-coding RNA, 4439 nt
Organism: Passer domesticus (house sparrow)
Lineage: Eukaryota; Metazoa; Chordata; Aves; Passeriformes; Passeridae
Exons: 13
Source: RefSeq, a predicted model, not a curated record